GUGUCUGUUGAGGAUGAGGCAUCUCCCUCGGGAUUGUAACCUUGAACUAUUUGAUCUAAAACAGGUCGUCUCCUUAUUUUUGCUGGAGGUUCUUCAUUCUCUCCUGUUCGUCUCCUCCUUCUUCCUCCAUCAACGAGAUCAUUAACAUGAUCCAUUUCUCCUGCCGGAACUCAUGUCUUGGACUUGGCUAUAUAGGAGGGAUUAGUCCUAUCUGCUGCAUUGUUUGGUUCAACUAAGCAUUCAUCUGAGACAUUUGAAGGGACAUUAUUUGAAGAUCAUUGUUGGUUGGAGUAUGGUGAUGAGGGUUAGAGGAGGACGUAGCAUUUAGAUUGUUGACAGAUGUUGUCCCAAAUAAGGAGGCCCAAAUAUUAGGAAUGGCAGAUAAGGGCUGGGUUGGUGGGGGAAUGUCUAUAGGGUUGGUAUUUUGGCCAAUAGCGGUUAGGUUGGGAGAGCGGUUUUCUUCAUUGGCCAUGUGGAUCUCAAUGAGUGUAUAGUAAAUGAAUUUUAGGAUUAAGGAACUUUAGCGAGAAUUGCUUCGUUCUCACAGACGACACCAAUUGAUAACUAAGGAUUCAAACGGUGUCUGAAAUGGUGACAUGUGGUUGAGAUGGUUUCGGGGUUAUUCGGGUUCAUACAACUACUUAUUUAUGGCAUCAUGCUACUACGACUACUUCCAAGAAGUUCUAGGGAGAGUAAUUUUAAUGGGUCAUGGUGUAGUCGAGGAAAAUCUGUUCUCUCAUUAUGGAAGGGUCUUUAUUUUUAGAACAAUUGAGCCAAUGUCUGUUAGGCAUGUGUAAAGACUUGCUUCGUUCCCAUAAAAGGCACCAAUUGAUAACUAAGGAUUCA
Molecule: unclassified non-coding RNA, 846 nt
Filed under: Hevea brasiliensis (rubber tree)
Lineage: Eukaryota; Viridiplantae; Streptophyta; Magnoliopsida; Malpighiales; Euphorbiaceae
Source: RNAcentral